Klebsormidium nitens is the source of this 73-nucleotide non-coding RNA. The record is from Rfam. Lineage: Eukaryota; Viridiplantae; Streptophyta; Klebsormidiophyceae; Klebsormidiales; Klebsormidiaceae.
UCCCUAGUAGCUCAGUGGUACGAGCAGUCGGCUGUUAACCGAACGGUCGUAGGUUCAAUCCCUACCUGGGGAG